RNAcentral lists this transfer RNA (72 nucleotides) under Fukomys damarensis (Damara mole-rat). It matches the Rfam family "tRNA". Rfam says of the family: Transfer RNA (tRNA) molecules are approximately 80 nucleotides in length. Their secondary structure includes four short double-helical elements and three loops (D, anti-codon, and T loops). The record is from Rfam by way of RNAcentral. Lineage: Eukaryota; Metazoa; Chordata; Mammalia; Rodentia; Bathyergidae.
GGGAAUGUAGCUCAGUGGGAGAGUACUUGCCUAACAUGCAUAUGGCCCUGGGUUCGAUCCCUAGUGCCCUCC